Molecule: ribosomal RNA, 429 nt
Filed under: Actinomycetes bacterium
Lineage: Bacteria; Bacillati; Actinomycetota; Actinomycetes
Description: Actinobacteria bacterium partial 16S ribosomal RNA
Rfam family: Bacterial small subunit ribosomal RNA
Source: RNAcentral
UAGGGAAUCUUCCGCAAUGGGCGAAAGCCUGACGGAGCAACGCCGCGUGAGUGAUGAAGGUCUUCGGAUCGUAAAACUCUGUUAUUAGGGAAGAACAAAUGUGUAAGUAACUAUGCACGUCUUGACGGUACCUAAUCAGAAAGCCACGGCUAACUACGUGCCAGCAGCCGCGGUAAUACGUAGGUGGCAAGCGUUAUCCGGAAUUAUUGGGCGUAAAGCGCGCGUAGGCGGUUUUUUAAGUCUGAUGUGAAAGCCCACGGCUCAACCGUGGAGGGUCAUUGGAAACUGGAAAACUUGAGUGCAGAAGAGGAAAGUGGAAUUCCAUGUGUAGCGGUGAAAUGCGCAGAGAUAUGGAGGAACACCAGUGGCGAAGGCGACUUUCUGGUCUGUAACUGACGCUGAUGUGCGAAAGCGUGGGGUUCAAACAGG